CCUACGGGAGGCAGCAGUGGGGAAUUUUGGACAAUGGGCGCAAGCCUGAUCCAGCAAUGCCGCGUGAGUGAAGAAGGCCUUCGGGUUGUAAAGCUCUUUUGUCAGGGAAGAAAAGGUGCGCUCUAACAUAGCGUACUGAUGACGGUACCUGAAGAAUAAGCACCGGCUAACUACGUGCCAGCAGCCGCGGUAAUACGUAGGGUGCAAGCGUUAAUCGGAAUUACUGGGCGUAAAGCGUGCGCAGGCGGUUUUAUAAGUCUGAUGUGAAAUCCCCGGGCUCAACCUGGGAACUGCAUUGGAGACUGUAAGGCUAGAGUGUGUCAGAGGGGGGUAGAAUUCCACGUGUAGCAGUGAAAUGCGUAGAUAUGUGGAGGAAUACCGAUGGCGAAGGCAGCCCCCUGGGAUAACACUGACGCUCAUGCACGAAAGCGUGGGGAGCAAACAGGAUUAGAUACCCUGGUAGUCCACGCCCUAAACGAUGUCUACUAGUUGUCGGGACUUAAUUGUCUUGGUAACGCAGCUAACGCGUGAAGUAGACCGCCUUGGGGAGUACGGUUGCAAGAUUAAAACUCAAAGGAAUUGACCGGGNNGAGAGNGCGAGGACGACGACGAGGAGGAGG
RNAcentral lists this ribosomal RNA (620 nucleotides) under uncultured bacterium. RNAcentral describes it as "bacterial SSU rRNA". It matches the Rfam family "Bacterial small subunit ribosomal RNA", at positions 338 to 950 of the family's 1533-position model. The record is from RNAcentral.